RNAcentral lists this long non-coding RNA (412 nucleotides) under Mytilus galloprovincialis (Mediterranean mussel). The record is from RNAcentral. Lineage: Eukaryota; Metazoa; Mollusca; Bivalvia; Mytilida; Mytilidae.
GCCGUCUAAAAUUUAACUAAAAUGCUAGAAUUUUGAAGAUUUCAGUAAUUUAGCAUGACUUAAUGGUGCUAGUACCCGAUAUAUGUGCAUUGCAUUGUCAAAAACAGCCCAUAUUUAUGUAGCAGAAGCAUUCUACUGUCCAAUGAAUAGCUAAAAGUUUGCAUUUUAACAAUUUUGUAAAACUGCUAUAUUUUGGGGCCAAAAAGGGGUCUUACUGGACCUACUCCAAAUUUAAAGCUUGUUCUGAUAUGCCAUACUAUUCCAUUUUUUAUACAUAUUGAUAGUUUAAUCAAUAUUUGAUUGGUUGACACUAUCCAACGUGUCAUUGAACAAAUCUUCAUAUUCCCCUCUGAGUAUCAUAUUCCUCUCUGAAAUGACGGGACGACCUUGUGCGACGUUACGCGCGGUUAAU